This is a long non-coding RNA of Solanum tuberosum (potato), 213 nucleotides long. RefSeq lists it as uncharacterized. The transcript has 3 exons. Lineage: Eukaryota; Viridiplantae; Streptophyta; Magnoliopsida; Solanales; Solanaceae. The record is from RefSeq and is a predicted model, not a curated record.
AGGUUCCUGAUAACUCACUUGAAGAUUGUCAACAAUCAUUAUCACAUGUUCCAAUUGUUCAAACAAAAAAGGUUCCUGAUAACUCAUUCGAUGAUUGUCAACAAUCAUUAUCACCUGUUCCAGUUGUUCACACAAAAAAGGCUAACAUGAUCAAGAAGAUUGGAACUAGCAUAGUUGGAAAAAAUAAAAGGAAGUGGGUAAGUUUGAAAAAAA